RNAcentral lists this long non-coding RNA (472 nucleotides) under Cyanistes caeruleus (blue tit). RNAcentral describes it as "lncRNA (ENSCCEG00000018418.1)". Lineage: Eukaryota; Metazoa; Chordata; Aves; Passeriformes; Paridae. The record is from RNAcentral.
CCGACAAACUUUGGAGCCUUUGCCUCUGAAUCUGUUUACAUAUUUGUGAGGAAAAUGCAGCUGCAUUACUGGUGUCAGUGGAUUUAACCUCAGGCACAGCAUGCCUUCUAGAAAUACUUAAAGAUCUCAAGAGAUGGGAAACAGCAGUGCAUCCUUGGAUAAGAGAUCUAGUAUAUACCUAUGCACAGAGAGGAAGUCUGCAGUAUUCAGCCAAGUCAUGGAGAAAUAAGUCAGCCAAGUGAUGGAGAAAUUGCCCAGGCUUCUAGCAAAAGUAUUGGAGGAAAGUAAAAUUGAUAUUCUCCUUCAAAGAUGGCCUCAUCUGGUGCGUGAAAUGAUCUUAGAUGCUUUCUGCAUCUUAAAAUGUGUAAGCAGUCUUGAAUUCUUCAGGAAGAAAGACCUUCUCCAAAGGCAAGGUAAAGGAGUAAUAUAGUUGUCCAGACUGUGGCAAAAUAUCAUAAUUAUGUUUAAUAAA